Molecule: ribosomal RNA, 136 nt
Filed under: Drosophila erecta
Lineage: Eukaryota; Metazoa; Arthropoda; Insecta; Diptera; Drosophilidae
Description: 5.8S ribosomal RNA
Rfam family: 5.8S ribosomal RNA
About the family: 5.8S ribosomal RNA (5.8S rRNA) is a component of the large subunit of the eukaryotic ribosome.
Source: RNAcentral
AACUCUAAGCGGUGGAUCACUCGGCUCAUGGGUCGAUGAAGAACGCAGCAAACUCUGCGUCAUCGUGUGAACUGCAAGAGACAUGUACUUUAAUUAAUUUUAUAGUGCUGCUUGGACUAUAUAUGGUUGAGGGUAG